Molecule: ribosomal RNA, 580 nt
Filed under: Hafnia sp. VK20
Lineage: Bacteria; Pseudomonadati; Pseudomonadota; Gammaproteobacteria; Enterobacterales; Hafniaceae
Description: bacterial SSU rRNA
Rfam family: Bacterial small subunit ribosomal RNA
Source: RNAcentral
GUCGAGCGGUAGCACAAGAGAGCUUGCUCUCUGGGUGACGAGCGGCGGACGGGUGAGUAAUGUCUGGGAAACUGCCUGAUGGAGGGGGAUAACUACUGGAAACGGUAGCUAAUACCGCAUGACGUCUUCGGACCAAAGUGGGGGACCUUCGGGCCUCACGCCAUCAGAUGUGCCCAGAUGGGAUUAGCUAGUAGGUGGGGUAAUGGCUCACCUAGGCGACGAUCUCUAGCUGGUCUGAGAGGAUGACCAGCCACACUGGAACUGAGACACGGUCCAGACUCCUACGGGAGGCAGCAGUGGGGAAUAUUGCACAAUGGGCGCAAGCCUGAUGCAGCCAUGCCGCGUGUAUGAAGAAGGCCUUCGGGUUGUAAAGUACUUUCAGCGAGGAGGAAGGCAUUAAGGUUAAUAACCUUAGUGAUUGACGUUACUCGCAGAAGAAGCACCGGCUAACUCCGUGCCAGCAGCCGCGGUAAUACGGAGGGUGCAAGCGUUAAUCGGAAUUACUGGGCGUAAAGCGCACGCAGGCGGUUUGUUAAGUCAGAUGUGAAAUCCCCGAGCUUAACUUGGGAACUGCAUUUGA